This 760-nucleotide ribosomal RNA is filed under the name uncultured bacterium. Its description in RNAcentral is "bacterial SSU rRNA". It matches the Rfam family "Bacterial small subunit ribosomal RNA", at positions 8 to 796 of the family's 1533-position model. The record is from RNAcentral.
AGAGUUUGAUCCUGGCUCAGGACGAACGCUGGCGGCGUGCCUAAUACAUGCAAGUCGAACGAGAAACUUCGGUUUCUAGUGGCGAACGGGUGAGUAACACGUGGGCAACCUGCCCUCAAGCCUGGGAUAACUCCGGGAAACCGGGGCUAACACCAGAUAAUCUUCUUUUUCGCAUGAAAGAGAAGUAAAAGUUUACACUUGAGGAUGGGCCCGCGGUGCAUUAGCUAGUUGGUGGGGUAACGGCCUACCAAGGCGACGAUGCAUAGCCGACCUGAGAGGGUGACCGGCCACACUGGGACUGAGACACGGCCCAGACUCCUACGGGAGGCAGCAGUAGGGAAUUUUCCGCAAUGGGGGCAACCCUGACGGAGCAACGCCGCGUGAGUGAAGACGGCCUUCGGGUUGUAAAGCUCUGUUCUUGGGGAAGAAACAAAUGACGGUACCCAAGCAGAAAGCCCCGGCUAACUACGUGCCAGCAGCCGCGGUAAUACGUAGGGGGCAAGCGUUGUCCGGAUUUAUUGGGCGUAAAGCGCGCGCAGGUGGUGGGUUAAGUUGUGGGUAAAAGGCAUUGGCUCAACCAAUGUAAGCCUGCAAAACUGGCUCACUUGAGUGCAGGAGAGGGGAGUGGAAUUCCCGGUGUAGCGGUGGAAUGCGUAGAUAUCGGGAGGAACACCAGUGGCGAAGGCGACUCUCUGGCCUGUAACUGACACUGAGGCGCGAAAGCGUGGGGAGCGAACAGGAUUAGAUACCCUAGUAGUCC